UACGGAGGGUGCAAGCGUUAAUCGGAAUUACUGGGCGUAAAGCGCACGCAGGCGGUUGGAUAAGUUAGAUGUGAAAGCCCCGGGCUCAACCUGGGCAUUGCAUUUAAAACUGUCCAGCUAGAGUCUUGUAGAGGGGGGUAGAAUUCCAGGUGUAGCGGUGAAAUGCGUAGAGAUCUGGAGGAAUACCGGUGGCGAAGGCGGCCCCCUGGACAAAGACUGACGCUCAGGUGCGAAAGCGUGGGGAGCAAACAGG
Molecule: ribosomal RNA, 253 nt
Filed under: uncultured bacterium
Lineage: Bacteria
Description: partial 16S ribosomal RNA
Rfam family: Bacterial small subunit ribosomal RNA
Source: RNAcentral